AGGGAUGCAAAACUGCGAAGUGGAGCGAACCCCCAAAAGCCGUCUCAGUUCGGAUCGCAGGCUGCAACCCGCCUGCGUGAAGUCGGAAUCGCUAGUAAUCGCGGAUCAGCAUGCCGCGGUGAAUACGUUCCCGGGCCUUGUACACACCGCCCGUCACACCAUGAGAGUCGGGAACACCCGAAGCCCGUAGCCUAACUUGCAAGAGAGGGCGCGGUCGAAGGUGGGUUCGAUAAUUGGGGUGAAGUCGUAACAAGGUAUC
This 259-nucleotide ribosomal RNA is filed under the name uncultured bacterium. Its description in RNAcentral is "partial 16S ribosomal RNA". It matches the Rfam family "Bacterial small subunit ribosomal RNA", at positions 1243 to 1500 of the family's 1533-position model. The record is from RNAcentral.